GGAGAGGGAGCAACACCCAAGGGAACCGCGGCAAAGGGCGGCCUCCCCGGGACCGCCGCCUGGCGGCCCGCGCGCGAAGUGCGGGCGCCGAGAGAUGAACCGCGGGGAGCGGGGAGCCAGCCCCCGGCGGGACGCAGGGUAGGUGGGUCCCGGUCUCCGGGAGAGGCGGCCGAGUGACUUCCGAUGCGCCGGAGCUCGGGCCCCGCGGCCGCAGAGCGAAUCCGCCUUCCUCCCUCCGGCCACCGCGCAGACACCCUCAACUGGUCCGCGGGGCCCCGCCGGUCACCCUCGCACACCCGAAAUCCAGCCCCUCCAGCUGGCGAACUGACUGUGACCGCGGUUUCCCACCGCCUCCAGCCCCGGAGACGUCUCUCCUGCCCCGAACCAACCGCUUUUCUGCCUCCUCUGGUCCCAUUUACCUCGGCCGCGAGGGAGGCAGACGCCUUCUUCAGCGACUCCCGGCUUCUAGCCUUGCUGUCCCGGGGCGGUGCUGUCAAUCAUCCUAACUCCGCCCCCAAGCCUGGGUCAGACUGACCAAUGAGCUGCCGGCUCGAGCCGGGAGGCGGGUACUGAGAGCCGGCAGAGGAAAGAGAGGCGACCGACUCACGCCCGGAGUCGCCGCGGGUGGACAGUGUGCGCACGCGCGGGGCUCGGCGAGGGGCGUGCGCUUUCGCCAAGAGGGACUUUGCUUUGUGCGUUCCCUUGUCUGCGCUGGCACAUCCUUUUGUUUGCAACUUCAUGCACUGGAUGUGCAGGGAUACCCACAUUUUGAAUGUAGCCGCCAGUGUGCUUUGACUUGAGAGGAGCUGUGUUAAGCCCUUGUUAACAUAUGUUGAGCCCUUUCAUCCCACGCGUGAGUAAGGACUUGGCAUUCACACAGCAGAUCUUCUGUCUCUGUGGACCUCAUAUCCGGGGUGUGUUUGCGUGUAGGGAGACUAAGGAUUACAGGUGGAGUGUACAAAGCACCAGAUGAAUGAGGAUUUUUACGUAAUUUACCGUCUUCAGGGCCCAGGUCCCAGUAUCCAUGCUGUGAACAGCCCUACGGAGAGACUCAGAUGUCAAGAAACUGAGGGAGGUCUCUGGCCAGCUGUCAGUAAGGAACUGAGGUCCUCUGUCCUUCAGCCUGUGGACUGAGUCCUGCUGACAGCCAUGCAAGUGAACUUGGAAACAGAUCUUUUCUCAUCGGAACUAUGGCAUGACAGCCACCUUGCUGACACCUUGAUCUCAGUCUUAUAAGAGCUUCUGAGGGAGUUGGUGGUAGUGCAGCGGGUUAAGUGCACGUGGUACAAAGCGCAAGAACCAAAAAAAAAAAAAAAAAAAAAAAGCGCAAGAACCAGCAUAAGGAUCCUGUUCGAGCUCCCGGCUCCCCACCUGCAGGGGAGUCACUUCACAAGCGGUGAAGCAGGUAGCCGGUAAGAAACCCAGAGGGAGAGAAGAUAGGGGAGAAGAGAAGAAACAAGGCAGCGUUGCUCCACAGGUGGUUCUGCAUAGGGAGGUGCUGUUUCUCUUACCGAGGGAGCUAUCUCCGGGGGUGGGUGGUGGUGAAUAUAAUAAAUAAAAAGUUUUCAUACCUAAGCACAAAUGUCAUGA
Erinaceus europaeus (western European hedgehog) is the source of this 1590-nucleotide long non-coding RNA. RefSeq lists it as uncharacterized. The transcript is spliced from 3 exons. Lineage: Eukaryota; Metazoa; Chordata; Mammalia; Eulipotyphla; Erinaceidae. The record is from RefSeq and is a predicted model, not a curated record.